Toxorhynchites rutilus septentrionalis is the source of this 1180-nucleotide long non-coding RNA. RefSeq lists it as uncharacterized. Lineage: Eukaryota; Metazoa; Arthropoda; Insecta; Diptera; Culicidae. The transcript has 3 exons. The record is from RefSeq and is a predicted model, not a curated record.
GUCAAUUGUACUUUGAUUGCUAUUUUUUCUCGAAUUCUUAUGUACUGCAUAAAAUUACGAAUAUGUAAUGAUAGAGAGGAGCUUACUAAGGCAGUUUUCACUUCAGAAACCAUUUAUUUAUUCCGUUGAUACACAACACAGAAUCGAAUAAGAGUACCGUCAUUGAGAUUAGCAUACUCAAAGGCAGUUAAUCUUUGAAAAGUGAACCUCAAAGGUCGGAUCAAUUGCUCUAACAACAAGGAAAUUGCUCUUUCAUUUCAGAUUAUAAAUUAAGAUAUAUAUCGUAACCUUUAAUCGAAAGUGAAUGAAACUUGGUACCUCGAAUAUUUUCAACGGCUCAGAAUGGAGAUUGAUAACCAACCGUACCUGAAAUCUUUAUAUCAGCGCAUUGCAUUUCCUUCCACCGAGUAUGUAAAAUUAGCCUCGACGACCAAACGACUUCCUCCGGCAGCGAAAUUGAAAAUAUCUGUCAGGCCCACAAAUACAUUGCAGGUGGUGUUUUCUCUCAAUAAUGGCUCCUGAAAAAAACGCUAAAAAAAGUCAUUACUAGACACUGUUUUCGCUCACGAUUACCACUUGUACAAAACUCAUUACACUUUUACUUAGAAUAUUCAUUUGAAUUUGAUUUUCAUUGAUAAUUUUGGCACUGAAUAUGUGUUUGUUUUUCCUGCCGCAGAGAAAGCGUCGUUUUCUACAGCAAUACGAAGAUGUUUCUAAUAUUGCUAAUUUAUAUAUUUCAACCUUAUCAGAUCUACAGAACAUUGUUCUUUCAUUUAACACUUACCAUCAUCAAAAUUAAAUUCAUUACUUUUGUGAAAUUACUUGUUAAAAUCCAACACUUUUACUUUGCAUUUUGUUUAUCCUUGCCACAUAUAAAUGGCUGUCAAACUCUGCUUCGGUAUCCCGAAUUCUCUGAAGUUGAAGUCGACCCUUGGCUAGUUUCCACGGACUUAUGAGGGAUUAAAGUUACGAUUAAUAAAAAGAAGUCGUUUUUUAAAACGCUUCCAAAAGAAAUCAGCUCCCAUCAAAAUUGAUCAUAUGAUGAUAAAAAAUGUAGUUUUGGUUAUCUGCCACUUCAUGUACAAAGAUUUAAAAACUAAAUACGGCUUGAUAAGCCGUAGUAUGAUGACCGUAGCGUAGAAUUGCUCAUAUAAUACCCGGAACCCACUGAUAAUUAUGA